Molecule: long non-coding RNA, 1721 nt
Organism: Oncorhynchus tshawytscha (Chinook salmon)
Lineage: Eukaryota; Metazoa; Chordata; Actinopteri; Salmoniformes; Salmonidae
Source: Ensembl
UGUGGAAUACUGUAGCAUUAGGGCAAAAGCACAAGGUGUCUGAAUAAUAAAACAAACGGUUGAGAGAGGUGUUUUCUGCAAAGACUGGUCUGGGAGAGAGGGGAGGGGACAGCUCGCGCUCUCUAAGGCUUUCUGAUGGGAACGAAGGGUUGAGCUUGAUGCCGUCCACCUGGCCUUGCUGCUGCUCCAGUUUCAACUGUUCUGGCUGUGGUUAUGGAACCCUGACCUGUUCACCGGACAUGCUACCUGUCCCAGACCUGCUAUUUUCAACUCUCUAGAGACAGCAGGAGCGGUAGAGAUACUCUCAAUGAUCGGCUAUGAAAAGCCAACUGACAUUUACUCCUGAGGACCUGAGACCUAAGACCAUGCCUCAGGACUACCUGGCAUGAUAACUCCUUGCUGUCCCCAGUCCACCUGGCCGUGCUGCUGCUCCAGUUUCAACUGUUCUGCCUGCGGCUAUGGAAUCCUGACCUGUUCACCAGACGUGCUACCUGUCCCAGACCUAUUAUUUGACCAUGCUGGUCAUUUAUGAACAUUUGAACAUCUUGGCCAUGUUCUGUUAUAAUCUCCACCUGGCACAGCCAGAAGAGGGCUGGCCACCCCACAUAGCCUGGUUCCUCUCUAGGUUUCUUCGUAGGUUUUGGCCUUUCUAGGGAGUUUUUCCUAGCCAACGUGCUUCAACACCUGCAAUGCUUGCUGUUUGGGGUUUAAGGCUGGGUUUCUGUACAGCACUUUGAGAUAUCAGCUGAUGUACGAAGGGCUAUAUAAAUACAUUUGAUUUUAUUUAAAACAUGUUGGUAUUACAGUCUCGGACAGGGAGAGGUUGAAAAUGUCAGUGAAGACACUUGCCAGUUGGUCAGUGCAUGCUCGCAGUACACAUCCUGGUAAUCCAUCUGGCCCUGCUGCCUUGUGAAUGUUGACUUGCUGAAAGGUUUUACUCACAUCGGCUGCAGAGAAUGUGAUUACACAUUCUUCCAGAACAGCUGGUGCUCUCAUGCAUGUUUCAGUGUUAUUUGCCUCUAAGUGAGCAUAGAGCUCAUCUGGUAGGCUCGUGUCACUGGGCAGUUCUCGGCUGUGCUUCCCUUUGUAGUCUGUAAUGGUUUGCAAGCCCUGCUAAAUCCUACGAUCAUCAGAGCCUGUGUAGUACGAUUCUACCUUAGUCCUGUGUUGACGCAUUGCCUGUUUGAUGGUUCGUCGGAAGGCAUAUCUGGAUUUCUUAUAAGCUUCCGGGUUAGACAGCUCCUUGAAAGCCGCAGCUCUUGCCUUUAGCUCAGUGCGCAUGUUGCCUAUAACCCAUGGCUUCUGGUUGGGGUAUGUACGUACGGUCACUGUGGGGACGACGUCCUCUCUGCACUUAUUGAUAAAGCCAGUAACUGAUGUGGUGUACUCCUCAAUGCCAUCAGAGGAAUCCCGGAACAUAUUCCAAUCUGUGCUAGCAAAACAGUCCUGUAGCUUAGCAUCUGCUUCAUCUGACCAUUUUUUUAUUGAUCUUGUCCCUGGUGCUUCCUGCUUUAGUUUUUGCUUGUAAGCAGGAAUAAGGAGGACAGAAUUAUUGUCAGAUGUGCCAAAUAGAACUUGCGGGAGAGCUUUGUAUGCGUCUCUGUGUGUGGAGUAAAGAUGGUCCAGAGUUUUUUUCCCUCUGGUUGCACAAUUAACAUGCUGAUAGAAAUUUGGUCAAACGGAUUAAAGUUUCCAUGCAUUAAAGUCCCCGCCUACUAGGA